Molecule: transfer RNA, 69 nt
Filed under: Marmota monax (woodchuck)
Lineage: Eukaryota; Metazoa; Chordata; Mammalia; Rodentia; Sciuridae
Description: tRNA.Leu
Source: RNAcentral
GGAAUAUAGCUCAGUUGGUAGAGUGCUUGCCUCAAAUACAUGAGGCCCUGGGUUCAAUCCCAAGCACCA